AUUGAACGCUGGCGGCAGGCUUAACACAUGCAAGUCGAGCGGGGUGAUGGUGCUUGCACUAUCACUUAGCGGCGGACGGGUGAGUAAUGCUUAGGAAUCUGCCUAUUAGUGGGGGACAACAUCUCGAAAGGGAUGCUAAUACCGCAUACGUCCUACGGGAGAAAGCAGGGGAUCACUUGUGACCUUGCGCUAAUAGAUGAGCCUAAGUCGGAUUAGCUAGUUGGUGGGGUAAAGGCCUACCAAGGCGACGAUCUGUAGCGGGUCUGAGAGGAUGAUCCGCCACACUGGGACUGAGGAACGGCGCAGACUCCUACGGGAGGCAGCAGUGGGGAAUAUUGGACAAUGGGGGGAAACCUGGUCCAGCAAUGCCGCGUGUGUGAAGAAGGCCUUAUGGUUGUAGAGCACUUUAAGCGAGGAGGAGGCUCUUUUGGUUAAUACCCAAGAUGAGUGGACGUUACUCGCAGAAUAAGCACCGGCUAACUCUGUGCCAGCCGCCGCCGUAA
RNAcentral lists this ribosomal RNA (503 nucleotides) under uncultured bacterium. Its description in RNAcentral is "partial 16S ribosomal RNA". It matches the Rfam family "Bacterial small subunit ribosomal RNA", at positions 30 to 523 of the family's 1533-position model. The record is from RNAcentral.